Molecule: unclassified non-coding RNA, 347 nt
Filed under: soil metagenome
Description: partial contains 5.8S ribosomal RNA, internal transcribed spacer 2, and large subunit ribosomal RNA
Rfam family: 5.8S ribosomal RNA (bases 1-120)
Source: RNAcentral
GAUGAAGAACUUAGCGAAAUGCGAUAACUAAUGUGAAUUGCAGAAUUCAGUGAAUCAUCGAGUCUUUGAACGCACAUUGCGCCCUCUGGUAUUCCGGAGGGCAUGCCUGUCCGAGCGUCAUUGCUGCCCUCCAGCCCGGCUGGUGUGUUGGGCCCCGUCCCCCUUCCCGGGGGGACGGGCCCGAAAGGCAGCGGCGGCACCGCGUCCGGUCCUCGAGCGUAUGGGGCUUUGUCACCCGCUCUUGUAGGCCCGGCCGGCGCCAGCCGACCCCCUCAAUCUAUUUUUCAGGUUGACCUCGGAUCAGGUAGGGAUACCCGCUGAACUUAAGCAUAUCAAUAAGCGGAGGA